UAUAAUAUAGUGUAAACUGCACGCAGAUCUUUGACAUCUGAAGAAGACACAUCUCUUAUUAUAA
Molecule: transfer RNA, 64 nt
Filed under: Nectoneanthes multignatha
Lineage: Eukaryota; Metazoa; Annelida; Polychaeta; Phyllodocida; Nereididae
Description: tRNA-Gln
Source: RNAcentral